GAUGCAGUAGCGCAGUGGUAGUGUCUCCUGUUGGCCAUCGAAAGGUGCAGGGUUCGAGUCCCUGGUGGUGCA
RNAcentral lists this transfer RNA (72 nucleotides) under Hordeum vulgare. Its description in RNAcentral is "tRNA-OTHER". Lineage: Eukaryota; Viridiplantae; Streptophyta; Magnoliopsida; Poales; Poaceae. The record is from RNAcentral.